RNAcentral lists this ribosomal RNA (600 nucleotides) under uncultured bacterium. RNAcentral's name for it is "bacterial SSU rRNA". It matches the Rfam family "Bacterial small subunit ribosomal RNA", at positions 66 to 678 of the family's 1533-position model. The record is from RNAcentral.
GUGAUCUUGAGAGCUUGCUCUUGGGUGAUCAGUGGCGAACGGGUGAGUAACACGUGAGUAACCUGCCCCUGACUCUGGAAUAACUUCGGGAAACCGAAGCUAAUACCGGAUAUGACACAGAGCCGCAUGGUUUCUGUGUGGAAAGUUUUUCGGUUGGGGAUGGACUCGCGGCCUAUCAGCUUGUUGGUGAGGUAAUGGCUCACCAAGGCGACGACGGGUAGCCGGCCUGAGAGGGCGACCGGCCACACUGGGACUGAGACACGGCCCAGACUCCUACGGGAGGCAGCAGUGGGGAAUAUUGCACAAUGGGCGAAAGCCUGAUGCAGCGACGCCGCGUGAGGGAUGAAGGCCUUCGGGUUGUAAACCUCUUUCAGUAGGGAAGAAGCGCAAGUGACGGUACCUACAGAAGAAGCACCGGCUAACUACGUGCCAGCAGCCGCGGUAAUACGUAGGGUGCGAGCGUUGUCCGGAAUUAUUGGGCGUAAAGAGCUUGUAGGCGGUUUGUCGCGUCUGCCGUGAAAAUCCGGGGCUCAACUCCGGACUUGCGGUGGGUACGGGCAGACUAGAGUGUGGUAGGGGAGACUGGAAUUCCUGGUGUAG